Molecule: ribosomal RNA, 468 nt
Filed under: uncultured bacterium
Lineage: Bacteria
Description: partial 16S ribosomal RNA
Rfam family: Bacterial small subunit ribosomal RNA
Source: RNAcentral
GACGAACGCUGGCGGCGUGCUUAACACAUGCAAGUCGAACGGACAGGCCAUGCUUUUGUGGGGUGCACGUGUGGCGAACGGGUGAGUAAAACAUGAGUAUAAUGUACUUGACUUUGGGAUAAAUUCAGGGAAAUGGGGCUAAUACCGGAUAGGAGCUCUUGCUGCAUGGUGGGCGUUGGUAAGAUUCGGCGGUUGGGGAUGGACUAGAGGCUUAUCAGCUUGUUGGUGGGGUAGUGGUAUACCAAGGCUUUGAAGGGUAGCCGGCCUGAGAGGUGGACCGGCGACAUGGGUACUGAGAUACGGCCCAGACGCCUACGGUAGGCAGCAGGGGAGAAUAUGGCACAAUGGGCGGAAGCCUGAUGCAGCAAUGCCGCGUGCGGGAUGACGUCCUUCGGGUUGUAAACCGCUGUCUCCUGUGACAAAGCGGGAGUGACGGUAAUGGGUAAAGAAGCACCGGCUAACUACGUG